GACGAACGCUGGCGGCGUGCUUAACACAUGCAAGUCGAACGGAAAGGCCCUGCUUUUGUGGGGUGCUCGAGUGGCGAACGGGUGAGUAACACGUGAGUAACCUGCCCUUGACUUUGGGAUAACUUCUGGAAACUGGGGCUAAUACCGGAUAGGAGCUCCUGCUGCAUGGUGGGGGUUGGAAAGUUUCGGCGGUUGGGGAUGGACUCGCGGCUUAUCAGCUUGUUGGUGGGGUAGUGGCUUACCAAGGCUUUGACGGGUAGCCGGCCUGAGAGGGUGACCGGCCACAUUGGGCCUGAGAUACGGCCCAGACUCCUACGGGAGGCAGCAGUGGGGAAUAUUGCACAAUGGGCGGAAGCCUGAUGCAGCAACGCCGCGUGCGGGAUGACGGCCUUCGGGUUGUAAACCGCUUUCGCCUGUGACGAAGCGUGAGUGACGGUAAUGGGUAAAGAAGCACCGGCUAACUACGUG
RNAcentral lists this ribosomal RNA (468 nucleotides) under uncultured bacterium. Its description in RNAcentral is "partial 16S ribosomal RNA". It matches the Rfam family "Bacterial small subunit ribosomal RNA", at positions 28 to 507 of the family's 1533-position model. The record is from RNAcentral.